UCCCUGGUGGACUAGUGGCUAGCAUGUGGCGCCUUCACCGCCAUAGCCCAGGUUCAAUUCCCAGUCCGGGAA
Molecule: non-coding RNA, 72 nt
Organism: Ameiurus melas (black bullhead)
Lineage: Eukaryota; Metazoa; Chordata; Actinopteri; Siluriformes; Ictaluridae
Source: the annotation of a GenBank genome assembly